GACGAACGCUGGCGGCGUGCUUAACACAUGCAAGUCGAACGGAAAGGCCCUGCUUUUGUGGGGUUCUCGAGUGGCGAACGGGUGAGUAACACGUGAGUAACCUGCCCUUGUCUUUCGGGGAACUUCAGGAAACUGGGGCUAAUAUCGGAUAGGAGCUCCUGCUGCAUGGUGGGGAUUGGAAAGUUUCGGCGGUAGGGGAUGGACUCGCGGCUUAUGGGCUUGUUGGUGGGGUAGUGGUUUACCAAGGGUUUGAAGGAUAGCCGGCAUGAGAGGGUGACCGGGGUCAAUGGGCCUGCGGUACGCAGCAGAGGGCAAUGGGAGGCAGUGGGCGGAAGUAUGACACAAUGGGCGCGAGUCGGUUACAGAGACGUUGGGUUCGUGAUGACCGCUUUCGGGGUGUGAACAGCUGUCGCCUGUGACGAAGCGUGAGUGACGGUAACGGAUAAAGAAGCACCGGCUAACUACGUG
This 468-nucleotide ribosomal RNA is filed under the name uncultured bacterium. RNAcentral describes it as "partial 16S ribosomal RNA". It matches the Rfam family "Bacterial small subunit ribosomal RNA", at positions 28 to 507 of the family's 1533-position model. The record is from RNAcentral.